GACGAACGCUGGCGGCGUGCCUAACACAUGCAAGUCGAACGGAGUAGAUCCCUUCGGGGGUUUGCUUAGUGGCGAACGGGUGAGUAACGCGUGAGGAACCUGCCUUUCAGUGGGGGACAACAGUUGGAAACGACUGCUAAUACCGCAUAAGCCCACAGCUCGGCAUCGAGCAGAGGGAAAGGGAGUGAUCCGCUUUGAGAUGGCCUCGCGUCCGAUUAGCUGGUUGGCAGGGUGAUAGCCUACCAAGGCGACGAUCGGUAGCCGACCUGAGAGGGUGAUCGGCCACAUUGGAACUGAGAUACGGUCCAG
RNAcentral lists this ribosomal RNA (309 nucleotides) under uncultured bacterium. Its description in RNAcentral is "bacterial SSU rRNA". It matches the Rfam family "Bacterial small subunit ribosomal RNA", at positions 28 to 334 of the family's 1533-position model. The record is from RNAcentral.